RNAcentral lists this ribosomal RNA (238 nucleotides) under uncultured bacterium. RNAcentral's name for it is "partial 16S ribosomal RNA". It matches the Rfam family "Bacterial small subunit ribosomal RNA", at positions 531 to 769 of the family's 1533-position model. The record is from RNAcentral.
GGUGCAAGCGUUAUCCGGAUUUACUGGGUGUAAAGGGAGCGUAGACGGACCGGAAAGUCAGCGGUAAAAGCCCGGGGCUCAACCCCGGCGAGCCGUUGAAACUGCCGGACUAGAGACGGCGAGAAGUACGCGGAAUGCGCGGUGUAGCGGUGAAAUGCAUAGAUAUCGCGCAGAACUCCGAUUGCGAAGGCAGCGUACCGGCGCCGGACUGACGCUGAGGCACGAAAGCGUGGGUAUC